GCCUACGGGGCGCAGCAGUAGGGAAUCUUCCACAAUGGGCAAAAGCCUGAUGGAGCAACGCCGCGUGGGUGAAGAAGGUCUUCGGAUCGUAAAACCCUGUUGUUAGAGAAGAAAGUGCGUGAGAGUAACUGUUCACGUUUCGACGGUAUCUAACCAGAAAGUCACGGCUAACUACGUGCCAGCAGCCGCGGUAAUACGUAGGUGGCAAGCGUUAUCCGGAUUUAUUGGGCGUAAAGGGAACGCAGGCGGUCUUUUAAGUCUGAUGUGAAAGCCUUCGGCUUAACCGGAGUAGUGCAUUGGAAACU
RNAcentral lists this ribosomal RNA (305 nucleotides) under uncultured bacterium. RNAcentral's name for it is "bacterial SSU rRNA". It matches the Rfam family "Bacterial small subunit ribosomal RNA", at positions 337 to 634 of the family's 1533-position model. The record is from RNAcentral.